GACGUAGGGUGCAAGCGUUGUCCGGAUUUAUUGGGCGUAAAGAGCUCGUAGGCGGCUUGUUGCGUCGACUGUGAAAACCCGCGGCUUAACCGCGGGCUUGCAGUCGAUACGGGCAGGCUAGAGUUCGGUAGGGGAGACUGGAAUUCCUGGUGUAGCGGUGAAAUGCGCAGAUAUCAGGAGGAACACCGGUGGCGAAGGCGGCAUCCUGGACCAUGACUGACGCUGAGGAGCGAAAGCCAGGGGAGCAAACGGG
RNAcentral lists this ribosomal RNA (253 nucleotides) under uncultured bacterium. Its description in RNAcentral is "partial 16S ribosomal RNA". It matches the Rfam family "Bacterial small subunit ribosomal RNA", at positions 524 to 776 of the family's 1533-position model. The record is from RNAcentral.